Molecule: non-coding RNA, 67 nt
Organism: Massospora cicadina
Lineage: Eukaryota; Fungi; Entomophthoromycota; Entomophthoromycetes; Entomophthorales; Entomophthoraceae
Source: the annotation of a GenBank genome assembly
GCAUUGUUGGUUUAGUGGUAUAAUGGCCGCCUGCCACGCAUCCCUGGUUCAAUUCCCGGACAAUGCA